Molecule: non-coding RNA, 199 nt
Filed under: Caloramator australicus
Lineage: Bacteria; Bacillati; Bacillota; Clostridia; Eubacteriales; Clostridiaceae
Description: T-box sequence
Rfam family: T-box leader
About the family: Uncharged tRNA acts as the effector for transcription antitermination of genes in the T-box leader family.
Source: RNAcentral
UUAAAACCGGUGAUGGAGAAUAGUAGAUAAGGUUUAAACUCAAGAGAGCCGGUGGUUGGUGUGAACCGGUGUUUGGCCUUAUUGAAUCCACUCCAGAGGGUUUGCGAUGAGCAAAACGGAUGUGGCCGUUAUACCACAAAGAGAGGACCUUAUGGUCAAUUAGGGUGGCACCGCGAAAGUAUAGCCUUUCGUCCCUUUG